AGACUAAAAGAUCUAUAAAUUGAUUUAUCGAAUAAAAUUCUAAAUGUUUAUUGAUAAUGACGAUAAACAGAUUGAUGCCUUGACUAAUUACGUGCCAGCAGUCGCGGUAAUACGUAAGAGGCUAGUGUUAUUCAUCUUUAAUAGGUUUAAAGGGUACUUAGACGGUAAAAUUUUCCUUUAUAAAGGUACGCUUUUACUAGAGUUUUAUGUGAGAAGGUAGUACUUAAGGUGUAGAGAUUAUAUUCGUUGAUACCUUAGGGACUGAUAAAGGCGAAGGCAACCUUUUAUGUAAAAACUGACGUUGAAGGACGAAGGCACAGAGAACGAACAGGAUUAGAUACCCUAGUAGUCUUUGCAGAGAAUGAUGAAUGCCAUAGGUUAGGUUUUAAUAACUUGGUCUAUAAAUGAAAGUGUAAGCAUUUCACCUCAAGAGUAAUGUGGCAACGCAGGAACUGAAAUCACUAGACCGUUUCUGACACCAGCAGUGAAGUAUGUUAUUUAAUUCGAUGAUCCACGAAAAACCUUACCACAAUUUGAAUGUUAUUAAUACUAAUUAAUAAUACAAGUGUUGCACGGCUGUUUUCAGUUAAUGUUGUGAAACUGCGGAUUCGUCCGUGAAAUUAACGGAUACCCCGGCUUUAUUUAUAAAUUAUUAAUAUAGAGCAUUUUCUGACACGCUACAAUUGUCAGAACAAAAGGG
Molecule: ribosomal RNA, 700 nt
Filed under: fungal sp.
Lineage: Eukaryota; Fungi
Description: mitochondrial SSU rRNA
Rfam family: Bacterial small subunit ribosomal RNA
Source: RNAcentral